RNAcentral lists this ribosomal RNA (498 nucleotides) under uncultured bacterium. RNAcentral's name for it is "partial 16S ribosomal RNA". It matches the Rfam family "Bacterial small subunit ribosomal RNA", at positions 28 to 507 of the family's 1533-position model. The record is from RNAcentral.
GACAAACGCUGGCGGCGUGCCUAAUACAUGCAAGUCGAGCGGACGGAUGGGAGCUUGCUCCCAGACCGUCAGCGGCGGACGGGUGAGUAACACGUGGGCAACCUGCCUGUAAGACUGGGAUAACUCCGGGAAACCGGGGCUAAUACCGGAUAACUCUUUCCCUCACAUGAGGGAAAGCUGAAAGAUGGCAUCUCGCUAUCACUUACAGAUGGGCCCGCGGCGCAUUAGCUAGUUGGUGAGGUAACGGCUCACCAAGGCGACGAUGCGUAGCCGACCUGAGAGGGUGAUCGGCCACACUGGGACUGAGACACGGCCCAGACUCCUACGGGAGGCAGCAGUAGGAAAUCUUCCGCAAUGGACGAAAGUCUGACGGAGCAACGCCGCGUGAGUGAUGAAGGUUUUCGGAUCGUAAAACUCUGUUGUCAGGGAAGAACAAGUACCGGAGUAACUGCCGGUACCUUGACGGUACCUGACCAGAAAGCCACGGCUAACUACGUG